RNAcentral lists this non-coding RNA (24 nucleotides) under Arabidopsis thaliana (thale cress). The record is from RNAcentral. Lineage: Eukaryota; Viridiplantae; Streptophyta; Magnoliopsida; Brassicales; Brassicaceae.
GUCCUUCCUGGUGCGUUUGUGCCA